RNAcentral lists this ribosomal RNA (253 nucleotides) under uncultured bacterium. RNAcentral's name for it is "partial 16S ribosomal RNA". It matches the Rfam family "Bacterial small subunit ribosomal RNA", at positions 524 to 776 of the family's 1533-position model. The record is from RNAcentral.
UACGAAGGGGGCUAGCGUUGCUCGGAAUCACUGGGCGUAAAGCGCACGUAGGCGGACUCUUAAGUCGGGGGUGAAAUCCUGGAGCUCAACCCCGGAACUGCCUUUGAUACUGGUAGUCUUGAGUUCGAGAGAGGUGAGUGGAAUUCCGAGUGUAGAGGUGAAAUUCGUAGAUAUUCGGAGGAACACCAGUGGCGAAGGCGGCUCACUGGCUCGAUACUGACGCUGAGGUGCGAAAGCGUGGGGAGCAAACAGG